RNAcentral lists this long non-coding RNA (3399 nucleotides) under Salmo salar (Atlantic salmon). RNAcentral's name for it is "lncRNA (ENSSSAG00000102980.1)". Lineage: Eukaryota; Metazoa; Chordata; Actinopteri; Salmoniformes; Salmonidae. The record is from RNAcentral.
GACUCAUUUUACUGUGGAUAUAGAUAGUUUUGUACCUGUUUCCUCCAGCAUCUUCACAAGGUCCUUUGCUGUUUUUUUGGGAUUGAUUUGCACUUUUCGCACCACAGUACAUUCAUCUCUAGGAGACAGAACGCGUCUCCUUCCUAACCGGUAUGACGGCUGCAUGGUCCCAUGGUGUUUAUACUUGCGUACUAUUGUUUGUACAGAUGAACGUGGUACCUUCAGGCGUUUGGAAAUUGCUCCCAAGGAUGAACCAGACUUGUGGAGGUCUACAAUUUUUUUCUGAGGUCUUGGCUGAUUUCUUUUGAUUUUGCCAUGAUGUCAAGCAAAGAGGCACUGAGUUUGAAUGUAGCCUUGAAAUACAUCCACAGGUACACCUCCAAUUAACUCAAAUGAUGUCAAUUAGCCUAUCAGAAGCUUCUAAAGCCAUGACAUAAUUUUCUGGAAUUUUCCAAGCUGUUUAAAGGCACAGUCAACUUAGUGUAUGUAAACUUCUGAAACAGUGAAAUUAUAAGUGAAAUAAUCUGUCUGUAAACAAUUGUUGGAAAAAUUACUUGUCAUGCACAAAGGAGAAUUCCUAACCGACUUGCCAAAACUAUAGUUUGUUUACAAGAAAUUUGUGGAGUGGUUGAAAAACAAGUUUUAAUGACUCCAACUUAAGUGUAUGUAAACUUCCGACUUCAACUGUAGGUAAAGGUGACUCUUUCGGUCAGAAGCAUUCGAUUUUGCAAUGCAUACAUUAUUUUGGAUUUGUGUACCCAUGAAAACUGUUUUUACCCACAACAUAAGGAGAUACUAAAUUAUGUAGUUACACUGCAUUUCUGAGAUCACUAUACAAAAAAUUGUCCGACAGCUAGAUUCAGGAUUCUUACAGGGUUCAAGUGUAAUGGCUAAUUUAACUGAUUAAUGCUUAAUAUAUUAUGUAACAACAACUUACACUGCCAUAAAUGCAAGGACAGAAAAGUAAUGUUUUAUGUUAGACUAUUUUGUACAAAUCAGUCAAGACACCAACCAUGAUAAAAGGUUAAACAUACAGUAGGUUUAAAUAAAUGUGUGUUUUUUUACUAUAGCUAUGAUCCCCCCCUUAUCUUUAACGUAAUGACAUAAAAAAAAAAUUGGCAGAUUAUUAUUGAUUACUUACGAACAGCUGUAACAAGUUGUCCAGUGUAGGAAAUCCUCACUGGAACCCUAGUUUAUAGAAAAACCCAUAUAAACCCUGAUUUGAAGAUGCUAUGUAUUAGCCAAUGAGCGGCUUUGAAGCCACAGGUCGGCCAUAUUGGCACUCCCCAGAAGAAUCAGUCUGCCAAUGGAAUUCAAAGGAUUUCAAUGAAAUGUUUCAAAGACAAAAUUGCAUGUAUUUUUGUUGUUGUAGUGGGGACAAUAAAAUGUGUAUUUUCUAAAAUGUAUACUUUAAGGGGAAACUAAACAUCUAUAUAUUUUAUGUUAAGCUCACAUAAUAUAAUUUAAAGUAUGCAUUAAGGUGACUAAUAGAAUAAACAUGGCAAAAAUAAAUGUAGACAUUAAUAAAUGUAUUUCUAUUACUUCCAACACAUUUUUUUACUAUGAUAGGAGUGCCAAGAUGUGGGCGCGGUGGCUUCAAACACUAUAUAUAAUUCGCUGUAACUCACCUCUCCCCCUCCUGGCUGCGGUACGGCAGUUCUGUGGCUGGGCCAUGUGAGGCUGGCCUGUUCAGAAGAGGCUUUAACGGGACUGCUGAGCCACAGCCUGGCUUUUGGACCCAUAAGCUCCUGGAGCCCUGAGGUCUUCAUUGAGGUUGGAGCACUGUGUAAUGUACAUGAACACACACCUUUUGUAAUGUACAUUACACGCCUUUUGUUGUUUUGCUACCACAAAUAUGUCUAGUGCCUGAAAUUAGUUUCAAAUCCUCUUAUAACUGCAGCUGGCCUCCCAGAUAUGGCCAUGUCAUCUUUGGUGAAGGUUGAAGGACUUACACCAUUCUGGCUGUAAGUGUGCGGAUUCAAAAUGCCUAUGAUUCAAUAAGACAUGUCAGUUUAUCUUCCAUGUUUUGUAUUGCCACCUAUCAAAUUGUUGUUUUUCUUUGUGUUCAUGUGAAUUGUCCAGAUCAGCAUGUUCUCCUAUAAACAGCGCUUGCUUUUGUCACGUGUGCAGCUAUGUCUAUUUUUUUUAACUAGGCAAGUCAGUAAAAGCUUAUUUUCAAUGACGGCCUAGGAACAGUGGGUUGUUCAGGGGCAGAACGACAGAUUUUUCCUUGUCAGCUCGGGAUUCGAUCUUGCAAACUUCGGUUACUAGUCCAACGCUCUAACCACUAGGCUACCUGCCGCCCGAAAUGGUGCUCAACGUCUGGGGUGACAAACCUGUUGACUUCCGUGGCAUUUCAUCCGGGCUGGCCCUGUGCCCUAGUCCUCUCUGUCACCUUCUGGGACUGCUGAUGGGACCCUCUGCACACAUCAACAACUACCUCCCACGAAGCAUCGUUAUCUAUCACUCCACAAAAGCCACGGCCCUUGCAUAGCAAGGGGAACAACUACUUCAAGGUCUCAGAGCGAGUGACGUCACCGAUUGAAACGCUUUAAGCGUGCACCCCGCUAACUAGCUAGCCAUUUCACACCGGUUACAUAAACAUUAUUAAAGUGACCAGUGAUUCCAUGUCUAUGUAUAUAGGGUAGCAGCCUCUAAGGUGCAGGGUUGAGUAACUGGCUAGUGAUGGCUAUUUAACAGUCUGAUGGCCUUGAUAGAAGCUGUUUUUCUGUCUCUCGGUCCCAGCUUUGAUGCACCUGUACUGACCUCGCCUUCUGAAGAGAUAUAUUUGCUAUUGGCCUAUUCUCUGAAUGAAGAAAAAAAUAUUUCUGCAUUUAUUUAUUGCACAUUGCCGUGUUGUAGUCUUCAGUUUAGGCUGACAAUUAUUUUGUUAGGUUUAAGGUUGAAUAAAAUUUUAUUUUAAUGAUUAAAUGUAAUUGUUUUAAAUGGAAAGUGCAGUGAUUUCUAUUAUUUGAGAAUUAAUAUGUUUCUAAAUUAUGUUUUGAAAUUCUUGUCUACCUGUAAAGUAUUUUGGCAACAAUUUACAUGGUGUACUUUAUAAAGGGUAUGUUAAUGGUUUAUAAGUAGUCCAGUAGAAUACUUUCUAAAGUUGUUAAGGGUUACCAAUAUUUCUGUAACACCAACAUAAUCUAGCCUAAAUAACACUCAUUGCAAAUCCUUUUGGGGUUUUUAUUCCAAGUAUUGUAAUUGCUGUGAGUUUUGUGUGAAUACUCAUGCAUGUUUUUUAAUAAAGAACUUCUACAUUGUAUUCCUUUAAUUUCGAUUUUUCUUUUGUCAGCAAAAUGUUUAGCUGAAAUAUGUUUAACAUGGAGCUGUCAAUUAUCUCAGCUUCGUCUACAUUUCCUAAACAAAGUGGCAGGGUCAUGGUGUUUAAAUUAC